CAGCAGCCGCGGGAAUACGGAGGGUGCAAGCGUUGUUCGGAAUCACUGGGCGUAAAGCGCGCGUAGGCGGUUACUCAAGUCAGAGGUGAAAGCCCGGGGCUCAACCCCGGAACUGCCUUUGAAACUAGGUGACUAGAAUCUUGGAGAGGUCAGUGGAAUUCCGAGUGUAGAGGUGAAAUUCGUAGAUAUUCGGAAGAACACCAGUGGCGAAGGCGACUGACUGGACAAGUAUUGACGCUGAGGUGCGAAAGCGUGGGGAGCAAACAGGAUUAGAUACCCAGUAGUCCCUGUCUCUUAUACA
This 301-nucleotide ribosomal RNA is filed under the name uncultured bacterium. Its description in RNAcentral is "partial 16S ribosomal RNA". It matches the Rfam family "Bacterial small subunit ribosomal RNA", at positions 509 to 808 of the family's 1533-position model. The record is from RNAcentral.